This 244-nucleotide ribosomal RNA is filed under the name uncultured Staphylococcus sp. Its description in RNAcentral is "partial 16S ribosomal RNA". It matches the Rfam family "Bacterial small subunit ribosomal RNA", at positions 96 to 334 of the family's 1533-position model. Lineage: Bacteria; Bacillati; Bacillota; Bacilli; Caryophanales; Staphylococcaceae. The record is from RNAcentral.
CGGCGGACGGGUGAGUAACACGUGGAUAACCUACCUAUAAGACUGGGAUAACUUCGGGAAACCGGAGCCAAUACCGGAUAACAUGUUGAACCGCAUGGUUCAACAGUGAAAGACGGUCUUGCUGUCACUUAUAGAUGGAUCCGCGUCGCAUUAGCUAGUUGGUAAGGUAACGGCUUACCAAGGCAACGAUGCGUAGCCGACCUGAGAGGGUGAUCGGCCACACUGGAACUGAGACACGGUCCAG